AUGUGUGGUCUGGAAGAUCAGGUGCUGAAAUGGGCUGUGAGCUGGCUGAAGGGAAGAAGCCAGAGGGUUGUGGUCAAUGGGAUGGAGCCGAGCUGGAGGCCUGGGUCUAGUGGAGUCCAUCAGGGGUCAGCGGGAAUACUGCUCAAGGCAUGCGUGGAAGGAUUCCGUCCGGAGCACACUUCUGUUUGUUCUAGUGGACAAACAACUUGGUUACUGCAAUGGCCCCAGUUUUCAGAGUCACACAGUUUGUCUCACAGACCCUCGCACUGGGUCACCUGCAUCUUCUUAAUGUCUGAUUGGCUCCCGUUGUUGGACACAAUGGUUUUGGAUGACCUACCAAACCUGGAAGAUACAUAUGCCUCCUUGUACUCCUCAGCUAUGGAAGACUUAGAGGUGGAGUUUGAUUCAGGACUGGAGGAAGAUGAACAGAAACAGGAGACUACUCCUGAAGAUUCCACAAUCUUUG
Molecule: long non-coding RNA, 466 nt
Filed under: Anas platyrhynchos platyrhynchos (common mallard)
Lineage: Eukaryota; Metazoa; Chordata; Aves; Anseriformes; Anatidae
Description: lncRNA (ENSAPLG00000022968.1)
Source: RNAcentral